Magnolia sinica is the source of this 478-nucleotide RNA transcript. It is a transcript of the gene named methionine aminopeptidase 1A-like, with no coding region annotated. The transcript has 4 exons. NCBI's taxonomy places the organism in Eukaryota, Viridiplantae, Streptophyta, Magnoliopsida, Magnoliales, Magnoliaceae. The record is from RefSeq and is a predicted model, not a curated record.
GAGUUGAUGUGCCUAAUUUCAAUAGCUGUCAAAAUCCUUUAGAAUUCAUAGGCUAGUUAAACAGGAUAGUAGGUGUAAUUCUUUGAGUGGAAGGAAUUAAUGGACGCGAAGGUCAACGUUUGUGUGUAUGAUGUUGAAUGGACCUCGAAUUUGAUGCUUUGAUUAUUGAGAUGUUCCAUCAUUUUCUCAAAGCAAUAAGCAAAGGUUAUCACUGACAGAGACACUAGGAGGUAGAGGGGAUUUGGGUUGGUGAAUUUCGCCAGUGAUGAGUCUGCCAAUAGUGCCUUAUCUACAUGGAUGGUGAGCUAUGGUAGCUGUUUCCUUGACCCAUAACAGGAAAUGCAGUAGUCGGUGUGAUGAAAGCAGGGCAGACCUUUACAACCGAACCCAUUGUCAAUCCAGAACUGUUUUGUCUUUACCCCUAAUGAUUAAUGGUGAGCUUUCAGCAAUUUUUUUUCCCAUAUUCACGGGGUGACCC